RNAcentral lists this ribosomal RNA (660 nucleotides) under uncultured bacterium. RNAcentral describes it as "bacterial SSU rRNA". It matches the Rfam family "Bacterial small subunit ribosomal RNA", at positions 52 to 724 of the family's 1533-position model. The record is from RNAcentral.
UACCAUGCAGUCGAACGGUGAUGAGGAGCUUGCUUCUCUGAUCAGUGGCGAACGGGUGAGUAACACGUGAGCAAUCUGCCCUUGACUCUGGGAUAAGCGUUGGAAACGACGUCUAAUACCGGAUACGACCUUGGAAGGCAUCUUCUGGGGUGGAAAGAAUUUUGGUCAAGGAUGAGCUCGCGGCCUAUCAGCUAGUUGGUGAGGUAAUGGCUCACCAAGGCGACGACGGGUAGCCGGCCUGAGAGGGUGACCGGCCACACUGGGACUGAGACACGGCCCAAACUCCUACGGGAGGCAGCAGUGGGGAAUAUUGCACAAUGGGCGAAAGCCUGAUGCAGCAACGCCGCGUGAGGGACGACGGCCUUCGGGUUGUAAACCUCUUUUAGUAGGGAAGAAGCGUUAAAGUGACGGUACCUGCAAAAAAAGCACCGGCUAACUACGUGCCAGCAGCCGCGGUAAUACGUAGGGUGCAAGCGUUGUCCGGAAUUAUUGGGCGUAAAGAGCUCGUAGGCGGUUUGUCGCGUCUGCUGUGAAAACCCGAGGCUCAACCUCGGGCCUGCAGUGGGUACGGGCAGACUAGAGUGCGGUAGGGGAGAUUGGAAUUCCUGGUGUAGCGGUGGAAUGCGCAGAUAUCAGGAGGAACACCAAUGGCGAAGGCAG